This 417-nucleotide long non-coding RNA is filed under the name Citrus sinensis (sweet orange). RNAcentral describes it as "long non-coding RNA (CSIN_LNC002739)". The record is from RNAcentral. Lineage: Eukaryota; Viridiplantae; Streptophyta; Magnoliopsida; Sapindales; Rutaceae.
UGAAGAGGUUGAGGGGACUGAAGGCGGUGGUGGUGACAAUGUAGACGCCGGGGGAGAUUUUGUAACUGGUGCAGGAGCAGAUUGAGAAGGAUGAGGUGGUGGUGUAAGCACAGGAGGCGAAGGAGUACUUGUAGGUGGAUUUGACGAAGGUGGAGGUGGAGAACUGGAGGAAGGUGGUGUUGGGACAUUGACUGGAGGAGGUGAACUGGAGGAAGGUGUUGCUGGGACAUUGGCUGGAGGAGGUGAACUGGAGGAAGGUGUUGUUGGGACAUUGGCUGGAGGAGGUGAACUGGAGGAAGGUGUUGUUGGGACAUUGGCUGGAGGAGGUGAACUGGAGGAAGGUGUUGGGGGAGGGGAAUUGACAGCAGGAGAUGAUGGCGGGGGUGCUGUUGGUGGUGAUGGUGGAGUGGAUGUUGG